Molecule: ribosomal RNA, 278 nt
Filed under: uncultured bacterium
Lineage: Bacteria
Description: partial 16S ribosomal RNA
Rfam family: Bacterial small subunit ribosomal RNA
Source: RNAcentral
CCCUACGGGGGGCAGCAGUAGGGAAUCUUCCACAAUGGACGAAAGUCUGAUGGAGCAACGCCGCGUGAGUGAAGAAGGGCUUCGGCUCGUAAAGCCCUGUUGGUAGUGAAGAAAGAUAGAGGGAGUAACUGGCCAUUAUUUGACGGUAAUUAAUUAGAAAGUCACGGCUAACUACGUGCCAGCAGCCGCGGUAAUACGUAGGUGGCAAGCGUUGUCCGGAUUUAUUGGGCGUAAAGCGAGUGCAGGCGGUCUAAUAAGUCUGGUGUGAAAGCCUUCGG